AUUGAACGCUGGCGGCAGGCCUAACACAUGCAAGUCGAGCGGAUGAAGGGAGCUUGCUCCUGGAUUCAGCGGCGGACGGGUGAGUAAUGCCUAGGAAUCUGCCUGGUAGUGGGGGAUAACGUCCGGAAACGGGCGCUAAUACCGCAUACGUCCUGAGGGAGAAAGUGGGGGAUCUUCGGACCUCACGCUAUCAGAUGAGCCUAGGUCGGAUUAGCUAGUUGGUGGGGUAAAUGCCUACCAAGGCGACGAUCCGUAACUGGUCUGAGAGGAUGAUCAGUCACACGGGAACUGAGACACGGUCCAGACUCCUACGGGAGGCAGCAGUGGGGAAUAUUGGGCAAUGGGCGAAAGCCUGAUCCAGCCAUGCCGCGUGUGUGAAGAAGGUCUUCGGAUUGUAAAGCACUGUAAGUUGGGAGGAAGGGAAGUAAGUUAAUACCUUGCUGUUUUGACGUUACCAACAGAAUAAGCACCGGCUAACUUCGUG
RNAcentral lists this ribosomal RNA (484 nucleotides) under uncultured bacterium. RNAcentral's name for it is "partial 16S ribosomal RNA". It matches the Rfam family "Bacterial small subunit ribosomal RNA", at positions 30 to 507 of the family's 1533-position model. The record is from RNAcentral.